ACUAGAAGAAAGUGAAAGUGAUUGCUGCAUUACUGUAAGUUUAGCUGACAAUAUGAUUUAAUUUAGCAAACAAAACCACUUGUAUACAGAGUUAGUAUACUCAGAGCUUCAAGAUGACCCAUCUCCUCUGCCUCUGACGCAUAAUCCAUCCUGGUCAGUUGGAACAUUUCUUUCUCUUCAGAGGCAGUUGCGUGUUGGCAUUUCUACUAAUGGCCCUAUGCCGUCCGAUGGGAGACAGCAUAGCCUAGAGACUGAGAAUGGGAACUCCUGAGUCCGAACACUUGGAUCUGAAUGCUGGCUCUACCAACCAGGGGAGAGGUUAGAUAUGUGGCCUCUGGAUUCCUGAUGAUGGACAAAUAUUCACACAUGCUGUCUACUGCUGGCAAAAUAACCCAGUGAAACUGAACAUCCAAGUAAUGAAAAUGCUAAAGAAAAAUGCCAGGAACAGAUUGCCAAGAGACGGAGGCUGUCUUCUCUGAGAAUUUGUACCUGCAAGUCUGCAUCCAGUGAAAGAAUGAGAUUUUUCUAAGAGUAACAAAUAAGAUCAGACAUCAAAAAACAAAACAAAACUUAAAACACUUUGGAGAACCCAGUCCUACUUAUAUACGUUUGUGGGGAUGGCCUUUGUGAGGAGAGUGAGAGCUGCUCCAUGUGUCUAGCUGACUAUGGGAAAUGUCUACUUCCUGUAGAUGACUGGGUGAUGAUUACCCUUCUAAUCUGCUUGGUCUCUACUGCCUCUGCCUUGACCAUUCUGGUAUGCCAUCAUUUUGAUUGCCUCAUGAAGUGACCCAAGCUUGGAAGGAAGAGGGUUCUUCUGUUAGGCAUUCCAGUGUCUCUUGAGGAGCUAAUUACAGGGAAGCCUGAGAAUCGCUGUCUUUGCCCUUCAGAGUAUGCAGAGGUAAGGGGUGAGGAGAGAAAGGGGACUUGAUCAUCAUCUGAAGCCAUCACAUCAACUAAGCAUGAGUCCAUGUUAUGUCUUGGAAAGAGAUAUAUCAAUGAGUAAUCUAUUGCAUCACGUAACAACUUCUUGGCAUUUUUCGGGCUUUUCCCAGUCUACUUCCAAAUAGAGAUGAUACAGUGGGCAAUUGGAAUAUGUGUUGGGAACUUGGAACAGAUGCUUAUAUGGAGAUGGAAAUUUGGGGCCCACCACUAUCUAAGGCUGUAAUGUAGCUAUAGA
Lynx canadensis (Canada lynx) is the source of this 1177-nucleotide long non-coding RNA. RefSeq lists it as uncharacterized. The record is from RefSeq and is a predicted model, not a curated record. NCBI's taxonomy places the organism in Eukaryota, Metazoa, Chordata, Mammalia, Carnivora, Felidae. The transcript has 6 exons.